Molecule: ribosomal RNA, 626 nt
Filed under: Leotiomycetes sp. genotype 141
Lineage: Eukaryota; Fungi; Ascomycota; Leotiomycetes
Description: eukaryotic LSU rRNA
Rfam family: Eukaryotic large subunit ribosomal RNA
Source: RNAcentral
CUGCCAAUCAACCCCCACCAUCAAGGUUGACCUCGGAUCAGGUAGGGAUACCCGCUGAACUUAAGCAUAUCAAUAAGCGGAGGAAAAGAAACCAACAGGGAUUGCCUCAGUAACGGCGAGUGAAGCGGCAACAGCUCAAAUUUGAAAGCUGGCUCCUUUGGGGGCCCGCGUUGUAAUUUGUAGAGGAUGCUUCGGGUGCGGCGCCGGUCUAAGUUCUUUGGAACAAGACGUCAUAGAGGGUGAGAAUCCCGUAUGUGACUGGUUGCCUGUGCCCGUGUGAAGCUCCUUCGACGAGUCGAGUUGUUUGGGAAUGCAGCUCAAAAUGGGUGGUAAAUUUCAUCUAAAGCUAAAUAUUGGCCAGAGACCGAUAGCGCACAAGUAGAGUGAUCGAAAGAUGAAAAGCACUUUGGAAAGAGAGUUAAACAGUACGUGAAAUUGUUGAAAGGGAAGCGCUUGCAAUCAGACUUGCACGGCGUCGAUCAGCCUGGGUUCUCCCUGGUGCACUCGGCGCCGUUCAGGCCAGCAUCAGUUUCGACGGUGGGAUAAAGGCCUAGGGAACGUGGGUCGCCUCGGCGACCGUUAUAGCCCUAGGUGCCAUGCCGCCUGUUGGGACUGAGGACCGCGCU